UACGAAGGGGGCUAGCGUUGUUCGGAAUUACUGGGCGUAAAGGGCGCGUAGGCGGUGUGUCAAGUCAGGCGUGAAAGCCCCGGGCUCAACCUGGGAACUGCAUCUGUGACUGUAUAGCUAGAGUACGGUAGAGGGGGAUGGAAUUCCGCGUGUAGCAGUGAAAUGCGUAGAUAUGCGGAGGAACACCGAUGGCGAAGGCAAUCCCCUGGGCCUGCACUGACGCUCAUGCACGAAAGCGUGGGGAGCAAACAGG
This 253-nucleotide ribosomal RNA is filed under the name uncultured bacterium. RNAcentral's name for it is "partial 16S ribosomal RNA". It matches the Rfam family "Bacterial small subunit ribosomal RNA", at positions 524 to 776 of the family's 1533-position model. The record is from RNAcentral.